Molecule: long non-coding RNA, 950 nt
Organism: Passer domesticus (house sparrow)
Lineage: Eukaryota; Metazoa; Chordata; Aves; Passeriformes; Passeridae
Exons: 2
Source: RefSeq, a predicted model, not a curated record
UGCAAUGAGGAGACAGAUGGACUUGUUGCAGUUUGAAGCCCCGGUGUUUCUAAUUUCCUACAGAAAAGGAGAAAAUUGAUGUCCAUGCUUGAUGGGGAAAUAGAUUUGUGUUCUGGAGUCAAUGUGUUCUUCACCAACAGGUGCUCCAGACACACCAUCCAAAUCAAGGAAGACAAAGGCAGGGACUGGGAGGAUGUAUAAGAAGAUCAAGCUCAAGAUCACCUGAGAAACAUAAAGAUGCACAAGUCCAUGGGACAGGGUGAGAUGCAUCCACAGAUCCUGAGACAACUGGUGAAUGAAAUGGCUAAGCCUCUUUCCAUCCUAUUUGAGAAGUUGUGGCAGGCCAGUGAAGUUCCCACUGACUGAAAGAGGGGACACAUAACCCCCAUUUUUAAAAAGGGAAAUAAGGAAGACACAGGGAAUUUCAGGCCAGUCAGUGUCAUCUCUGUUCCCACCAAGAUCAUGGAGCAGAUCCCCUUGGGAACCAUGCUAAGGUACAUGGAAAACAAGGAGGUGGUUUCUGACAGCCCUUCAACUAAGAGCAAAUUUUGCCUGACAAAUCUGUUUGCCUUCUGUGACAGGGUUACAGUGUUGGUGGAUAAGGGAACAGCAACUCCUGUCAUCUGCCUGGACAUGCACAAAGCAUUUAACGCUGCCUCAUAUAACAUUUUUGUUUCUAAACUAGGGAGACAAGGAUUUGAUGGAUGGACCACUUGGUGGAUAAGGAAUCAGAUGGAUGGUCCCACUCCAAGAGUUGCAGUUAACAGCUUGGUGACCUUUUUCCAAAGAAAUUCCAAACAGAGUUGAUUGGCCAAAUACAGGAAUAAUUGGCUGAAAACAUCUGGAAUGCCACCUUGAGGGACUCUAAUGGCCUCUAAAAUAAAUACAAUAUAUGUUUUAAUCCCUGUAGUAUUCUCAGACCUGGUUCCCACCAAAAAAAAUAAGGAAAA